Molecule: ribosomal RNA, 425 nt
Filed under: uncultured bacterium
Lineage: Bacteria
Description: bacterial SSU rRNA
Rfam family: Bacterial small subunit ribosomal RNA
Source: RNAcentral
GGGGAAUUUUGGACAAUGGGGGCAACCCUGAUCCAGCCAUGCCGCGUGAGUGAAGAAGGCCUUCGGGUUGUAAAGCUCUUUCGCGAGGGAAGAAAUUGCACCGGAUAAUACCUGGUGUAGAUGACGGUACCUUGAUAAGAAGCACCGGCUAACUACGUGCCAGCAGCCGCGGUAAUACGUAGGGUGCGAGCGUUAAUCGGAAUUACUGGGCGUAAAGCGUGCGCAGGCGGUUUCGUAAGACAGGCGUGAAAUCCCCGGGCUUAACCUGGGAACUGCGCUUGUGACUGCGAGGCUAGAGUACGGCAGAGGGAGGUAGAAUUCCACGUGUAGCAGUGAAAUGCGUAGAGAUGUGGAGGAAUACCGAUGGCGAAGGCAGCCUCCUGGGCCAGUACUGACGCUCAUGCACGAAAGCGUGGGGAGCAAAC